This 47-nucleotide non-coding RNA is filed under the name Paramuricea clavata. It matches the Rfam family "Histone 3' UTR stem-loop". From Rfam's summary of the family: The mRNAs of metazoan histone genes lack a poly-A tail. 3' end processing occurs at a site between a highly conserved stem-loop (modelled by this family) and a purine rich region around 20 nts downstream (the histone downstream element, or HDE). Lineage: Eukaryota; Metazoa; Cnidaria; Anthozoa; Malacalcyonacea; Plexauridae. The record is from RNAcentral.
ACAACGGCUCUUCUAAGAGCCACCACACGUAUAAAAGAAAUAACGAU